GGAGUUGUAGCUCAGUGGUAGAGUGCUGGCCUAGCAUGUAUGAGCCACUGGGAUCAAACCUCAGCACCA
RNAcentral lists this transfer RNA (69 nucleotides) under Marmota monax (woodchuck). RNAcentral describes it as "tRNA.Ala". Lineage: Eukaryota; Metazoa; Chordata; Mammalia; Rodentia; Sciuridae. The record is from RNAcentral.